AGCGAACGCUAGCGGCGGGCCUAACACAUGCAAGUCGAGCGGAGGGGCAACCCUCAGCGGCGAACGGGUGAGUAACACGUAGGUAAUGUACCCUCUGGUGGGGAAUAACCGUGGGAAACCAUGGCUAAUACCGCAUAUGUCUUUCGAGAUGAAAGCAGCAAUGCGCCAGAGGAGCAGCCUGCGGCCGAUUAUUUAGUCCUAGUUGGUGAGGUAAUGGCUCACCAAGGGUACGAUCGGUAGCUGGUCUGAGAGGAUGAUCAGCCACACUGGAACUGAGACACGGUCCAGACUCCUACGGGAGGCAGCAGUGGGGAAUAUUGCGCAAUGGGGCGAAAGCCUGACGCAGCCACGCCGCGUGAGUGAUGAAGGCC
RNAcentral lists this ribosomal RNA (371 nucleotides) under uncultured bacterium. RNAcentral's name for it is "bacterial SSU rRNA". It matches the Rfam family "Bacterial small subunit ribosomal RNA", at positions 29 to 416 of the family's 1533-position model. The record is from RNAcentral.